UUCUGGUGUAUUGUUAGGUAUCUACUGAUGUGUUCUGGUGUAUUGUUAGGUAUCUACUGAUGUGUUCUGGUGUAUUGUUAGGUAUCUACUGAUCUGUUCUGGUGUAUUGUUAGGUAUCUACUACUGAUGUGUUCUGGUGUAUUGUUAGGUAUCUACUGAUCUGUUCUGGUGUAUUGUUAGGUAUCUACUGAUGUGUUCUGGUGUAUUGUUAGGUAUCUACUGAUCUGUUCUGGUGUAUUGUUAGGUAUCUACUGAUGUGUUCUGGUGUAUUGUUAGGUA
Long non-coding RNA from Oncorhynchus masou masou (cherry salmon), 279 nucleotides. RefSeq lists it as uncharacterized. The record is from RefSeq and is a predicted model, not a curated record. Lineage: Eukaryota; Metazoa; Chordata; Actinopteri; Salmoniformes; Salmonidae. The transcript has 3 exons.